GACGAACGCUGGCGGCGUGCCUAAUACAUGCAAGUCGAGCGGAGUUAUUCCUUCGGGGAUAGCUUAGCGGCGGACGGGUGAGUAACACGUAGGCAACCUGCCUGUAAGACCGGGAUAACAUUCGGAAACGAAUGCUAAUACCGGAUACACAGUCACCUCGCAUGGGGAGAUUGGGAAAGACGGUGCAAGCUGUCACUUACAGAUGGGCCUGCGGUGCAUUAGCUAGUUGGUGGGGUAACGGCUCACCAAGGCGACGAUGCAUAGCCGACCUGAGAGG
This 277-nucleotide ribosomal RNA is filed under the name uncultured bacterium. RNAcentral's name for it is "partial 16S ribosomal RNA". It matches the Rfam family "Bacterial small subunit ribosomal RNA", at positions 28 to 299 of the family's 1533-position model. The record is from RNAcentral.